ACAUGCAGAGAACUUUCCAGAGAUGGAGUUGGUGCCUUCGGGAACUCUGACACAGGUGGCUGCAUGGCUGUCGUCAGCCUCGUGUCGUGAGAUGUUGGGUUAAGUCCGUAACGAGCGCAACCCUUGUCCUUAGUUACCAGCACGUUAUGGUGGGCACUCUAAGGAGACUGCCGGUGGACAAACCGGAGGAAGGUGGGGGAUGACGUCAAGUCAUCAUGGCCCUUACGGCCUGGGCUACACACGUGCUACAAUGGUCGGUACAAAGGGUUGCCAAGCCGCGAGGUGGAGCUAAUCCCAUAAAACCGAUCGUAGUCCGGAUCGCAGUCUGCAACUCGACUGCGUGAAGUCGGAAUCGCUAGUAAUCGUGAAUCAGAAUGUCACGGUGAAUACGUUCCCGGGCCUU
This 403-nucleotide ribosomal RNA is filed under the name uncultured Pseudomonas sp. Its description in RNAcentral is "bacterial SSU rRNA". It matches the Rfam family "Bacterial small subunit ribosomal RNA", at positions 984 to 1382 of the family's 1533-position model. Lineage: Bacteria; Pseudomonadati; Pseudomonadota; Gammaproteobacteria; Pseudomonadales; Pseudomonadaceae. The record is from RNAcentral.